Molecule: long non-coding RNA, 1371 nt
Organism: Bactrocera neohumeralis
Lineage: Eukaryota; Metazoa; Arthropoda; Insecta; Diptera; Tephritidae
Exons: 2
Source: RefSeq, a predicted model, not a curated record
AUGUGGGUGGCAGCGUUGCAGCGUCAAGGGAAGGAAAGUCAAAUAAUCGCACGUGAAGCAAAUAACUGGACGACGGCGAGUUGACGAUGGCUAUAAGCGACAAACAGUGCGACGGUCAAGUGGUCAGUGCGUUGUAGGGACAUUUACCAUACAUGCAUAUGUACUUGCAUAAACAAAAGUUUGCUGUUGCAACAACAACUUACUGCCAGUUGGUAUGCGUUAAGAGCAAAAGCAACAAUAGCAACAAAUAAUAAUAAUAAUAAAAAUAACAACAACAAGAACAAUAAUAAUAAUAAUAAUAAUAAUGAUGAUGAUGACAAGAAAAGCAGCACCAAAGACAAUAAUUACAACAACAACUACUACAACUACAAAAACAACAAUAAUUAUAUUAACAUAAAUAAUAACAACAACAAUAAUAAUAAUAACAACAAUAUAAGCAACAACAAAAACAAUAAUUAUAAUAACAACAACAACCACACCAACCAGCCAACAAUAAAAAGAAUAACCAAAAAUAAUAUUUACGACAACAACAACAAAUUUUGUGUUGCACUCACACUCAUUGGUGGCAACUACUUAACAGCAUUUCGAGCUUUCGCCACUGACGCCAACGGCGGUACUGGCGGCUGCUGCUGCUAUUGAUGGCUGACGUCCGUUGGCGGCAACUUGUUAUUUGUACAGCCCAGUGCUUCGUUGAGUGCAUCGAUAGUAAUUGAAUGUUGUGGCGCUCAGUGCUCUCUAUCGAUUCGCAGUCGUUUGGUUGGCGACAAUUGCCGGCAAAUGCGAAGAUGACAACGGCGCUUCAGUUGUUGCAGCUGCCAUUAUGGGAACAGAAACAACUAUGUCUAAUCGAAAUAAUGAUUCUUCAUCAUCAAGAAAGUAACAUAAGGAAGUAUUUGAACGAGGCAAAUAGUUGUAUUCAUAAAACAAGAAAACGCAAGCAAAACCGUUAACUUCGGUUGCACCUCCGGUCUGAGCAAUCGGAGCAAUAUGUUCAGAAAUUGAAACUUUAGAUAAUAAUAUUUGGCAAAUAUCGAGAAGAUGCCUUGUCACAUAAAAAAGCUUUCCAUACAAGCACUUGAUUCCGAUUUCAAAAACUAUGGGACUAAUUGGAGUAUAUAAAGAAAGAGAGACGCACAUGUCGGAGUGGACUCAGCUCGUCACGCUGCACAUUUGUACAUGGUUCAUUUCAAGGUUCCCUACUUAAAAUAACUCAAAAACUUCAAAUUUGGUGGGAAUUGUUUACUAUCAUUCGAAAGAAUAUUCUUUGGCAUUUAUUUUUUGAAGAAAUCUGUCAGUUAAGCUCUGAUUAACUUAACCAAGCCUCCUUUUUUCGAAAAGCACUUUUUUUAAACAGAACUACUAAUGUACAUA